This 246-nucleotide ribosomal RNA is filed under the name uncultured bacterium. RNAcentral's name for it is "partial 16S ribosomal RNA". It matches the Rfam family "Bacterial small subunit ribosomal RNA", at positions 15 to 244 of the family's 1533-position model. The record is from RNAcentral.
GAUCAUGGCUCAGGAUAAACGCUGGCGGCGUGCAUAACACAUGCAAGUCGAACGAUGAACCUUAAUUGAUUUCUUCGGAAUGAAAUUAAGCGGAUUAGUGGCGAACGGGUGAGUAACACGUGAGUAACCUGCCUUACACAAGGGGAUAGCCUUUGGAAACGAAGAAUAAUACCCUAUAAAGUCAAAAUAUCGCAUGAUAAAGUGACCAAAGAUUUAUCGGUGUAAGAUGGACUUGCGUCUGAUUAG